UUUUUGAAAAUAAUUUAAAGUGUUAUCUGCCCACUGAUAAAUAUAUUAAAGGGCUGCAGUAUUUUGUCUGUACAAAGGUAGCAUAAUCAUUAGUCUUUUAAUUGGUGACUAGUUUGAAAGAUUGGAUGAAAUAUAAACUGUCUCUAAUUAAUUUAUAAAAUUUAAUUUUUUAGUAAAAAAGCUAAAAUAAUUUUAAAAGACGAGAAGACCCUAUAGAGUUUUAUAAUUUGUUUAAUUAUUAUUAAUAUGUAAAUUUUAAAAUUAAAAUUAAAUAAAUUAUUUUGUUGGGGUGACAGAAAAAUUAAAUUAACUUUUUUAGAUAAUUAACAUUAAUUUAUGAAUAAUUGAUCCAUUAAUAUUGAUUAAAAGAAAAAAUUACCUUAGGGAUAACAGCGUAAUUUUUUUUGUUAGUUCAAAUAGGAAAAAAAGUUUGCGACCUCGAUGUUGGCUUAAGAUAAAAUUUAAACG
RNAcentral lists this ribosomal RNA (468 nucleotides) under Papilio machaon (common yellow swallowtail). RNAcentral describes it as "partial large subunit ribosomal RNA". The record is from RNAcentral. Lineage: Eukaryota; Metazoa; Arthropoda; Insecta; Lepidoptera; Papilionidae.